RNAcentral lists this long non-coding RNA (4702 nucleotides) under Ananas comosus (pineapple). RNAcentral describes it as "long non-coding RNA (ACOM_LNC035935)". The record is from RNAcentral. Lineage: Eukaryota; Viridiplantae; Streptophyta; Magnoliopsida; Poales; Bromeliaceae.
GGGGGGUUUGGGGGAAGUGUUCCAAAAUUACCUCAACCACGGCAGUUGAAAAGGCAUGAUUCACCCUUAUAUCUCCUGAAUCCAACCUCCCAAUAUCACAUUCAAACACCCUUCUAAGCUCAACCAGCAAAACCUCACACACCUCCACCACAAGACUUAGGUCGAAUUCAAGAAGCCGAAACGCGCUCAAACAGCACCGCAGAAGUAGCUUCGCAUCCUCCGCCAAAAAUCCCAGAUCCGCAGCUUUCGCGCCCACAUGAGGAGGGCGAAUCAAUUGCCCCGAUCGUCUCUUUAGCUCUUCGAAGAUAAAAUUUGAGACAUUUAAAACAUCCGCAAAAUGUGAUCCCGAUUCUGAACCAGAAAAGUUGGAGAGUAGGGUAUGCAGCUGCUUCAGGAAAUCGGCCAUCAGAAAUUGAGAGGAAGCAGGAAUCAACAAACCCUAAUAAAGCAAAAUUAGGUUAUAAUUUGAAUAUUUUUUUCCAAAUAACGCUAAAGAAUAUUAUAAUUGGCUAAGUAACCCUACUAAAAAAAUAUUUGACAAAAUAACCCUCCUUUUCCCAAGUCAGGAUAAAAAAAAAUUUAAAGCAGUGAAUCAUUCACCGUCUCGUUCACCGUCUUUAAGAGACAGUACCUGAUUUACCGUCUUCGACGGUGAACGAUUUACCGUUUUCAUAAUUUUCUAUUAUACCGGUCGGGAUUAUACAUAAGAAAGAGAAAAAAAAAAUGGUUAGAAUUGUAUGUGGAUGAUAUGAAAAAUAGAAAAAAAUAAGAUUGUUAGGAUUAUACGUGGAUUAUUAAAAUUUUUAUUUGAUUGUUAGGAUUGUAUGGAUAGAUUAUUAGGAUUUUCAGAUUGUUAAGAUUAUAUGUAAUUUGUUAAAAUUUUUAUGUAGUUGUUAGGAUUAUAUAUGGGAUAUAGAAAGAAAUAGUAAAUAAGCGAAAGACGUUGAAUGAUUCACCACUUUUGUAAAAAAUUAGGAAGAAUCGUUUACCGUCUUCAUGAAGGUGGUAAAUCGUCCACCAUCUUUAUGAGAAAAUUUCAACGUGGCUCUUACAUGACAAAAAAAGGAUUAGUUUGCGAAAAAAUUUCAUAGGAUUAUUUACCCAAUUAGAAAAUUUUAUAGGGUCAUUUUGAAAAAAAAAGGUCCUUAUAAAUUUUCUUUUGAAAAACAAAACUAGGAGAGAGCAGAGGACGAGGGAGAUCACCUGUGGAGAGAAAAGUGGCUUCCGGCUUAAAAAGAAAGAGAGCAGUUGGCGAUCAAUUUUUCCUUCAAAAUGGUCUAACCAAAACCUAUGUAACAACCUAACGACUCGCAACCUAUCGAUGAUGAAAUCGCUGUGAGACGAGGAUGGCAGGAAGGAUGAUGGAGUCCUCUAUUUAUCUCUACUAGGUGAGAAUUAAAGAGUUUAGGAAAGGUUAGGAAGAGGUAAAGAGUGGGAAUUUGGAAAAAGUUGGCUAAGAAGAGCAGGAUUAGAGGGAAGGAAAUUGGAAGGUAGAGAGGAAAUGGAGGGAAGAUGAUAGGGGAAGAAGAAGAAGAUCCAAAUAAAAGUGGAGAGAGAGAGAAUUUGGGAAGAAAGAAAGUAGUAUCUAUACUUACUAGUGUAGAGCUAUUAUACUGUCGAAAGUAUAAAAGAGUUGGUGAUUUCGAUUUUUUAACUAUUGGAUCAAGAAUUGUAGGGUCAAGAUAAUAGUAGUCCCCUUCGAUUUUUUAACUAUAGGUUUAGUGCAUAAAACAAGGAAUCUAAAAACUAUUGAUCACAAGCAGAAGACGCAAAAAACAAGGACGAUUAAUUGAACAUAUGCCUUUUACAAAUUAAGACAGAAACUAUAGGUUUAGUGCAUUAUUUGUUUUGCCUGGGAUCAAUUGGAUUAUCCAGCUCUACUCAUCUAGCUAAGGUUAGAAAUGAGUAUCUUAACAUGUGUAUUGGCAAUUUGAAUUAUUGCUGAGGUCCACAUUGUGGUUCUCGAAGCAUUAAUGCGAGACCUUACGAGGUUUUCUGAAACAUGGUUGAGAACUCAGAUUGCAUAUUCAAUGCUGCAAGGGAAAGCCCUAGAAAACACAUAUAUGCAGCAGGAAAUAAUAUACAAAAGUAGAAAAAUUUUCAUGGUUAGCGUUCACUUCUAAAAGCCCAGCUACACUAUGUAAACAUAUACCAAAUGGGCUUUAAAUAAAGCCACAGCUUAAGAGCACUGGAAUUUAGCAAUGUAAAAUUUUUACAGCUUUAUGUAUCAUGGGAACCUUGAGAAAGACUAAGAUAUUAUAAGCAGAGUAAAUUUUAUUUACAUAAUAGAGAAUAGAAAAACAUUGUAGACAAUUACAGGAUUAACGAUGCCAGUAACACAACACAAUCUCAGAUUCUAGCUUAGAAUAAAAGGAAGAGAUGAAAGAUGCAAGUCCCAAAUAUGAGACUCGACAAAAUUAUUGACAAACUACUAAGACCAACUAUUAACAUAACAUUCAAUUCUUAAGAGAAUGAUUCAAAUUGCCAAUACACAUGUAAAGAUACUCAUCACCACAUAAAGCGGUCCUUUCAACUGGAAAUUCAUCAUCAUAAUAUAGAGUAUCUUUGUAGGGUUUAUAGGGCACAGGUUUGCGGGUGUGUUCAAAAUAAUACAAUUAGUUUGUUUUGCUCAGAUUCUAAUGAUAUUUUUUUUUUUGCUGCGACAGACACAAUAGCUUUUUAAACUAGAUAUUUUGCUUCUGAUUUUUUACGGGCUCAUUUUAACUUUUCCUGGAGCACAAACUUUGGACAUUUAAUUUAAUUUUUUUCCAGAUGCUGCUUGGAGUAGAGAAACUAUAUAAAGAUCAGGCAAAACAAAGGCUAAAAAUUAUCCUCAAUAAAUUCCAUCCUUAACAUGUGGGUCGGAUGCUUUCAACCUCCACAUCAUUAAACAAGAGAGCAUUCUCUAGCUCUGCCCAUGGACAAGAUCUUAACUCUAUAUCCGAACAAUUUUUGCAAUAACCAAUCAUAGUUAAAUGCCUAAGCUUUUUGUCUCUGAAGUGGUAGACAAGUAAACAAGAUUAAGUUUUACUCUGUUUCAUGACUCUACCUUUUAGCCUCAGCCAAAAAUCAGUGAAAAAAGGAAAAUAAUAUCAAAGAUAAUGAUUUGUAUUCAAGCAAGUCAAAAUAACUGUGCAUUCAGAAGAACACAGGAAUGAUCACAAAAUUCUGAAGAGCACUUGGGACAAUGCAAUUGUGUCCUUGUGAUGAGGCUUUUUCUGACAGAAAUAUGCAAUAGGAUACAUAUAACCUUAUCCACCUUAACAUCUCUAUAAACAGCAUUAUUCGGACAGCAUUUUGUUAACCACUGCUUAUGAAGUAUGGGUAAAGAACUAUUCACACGCAGCAUCUCGUUGAAAAUGUCAAACUAUUUUCAUUUCCCGUCACGGCAGUUUCAAAUCCUUAAUUAUCGAUGACAAUUUUGUGUAUGCUAGCUUUACCGGAAGUAAGCCAGAGUAAAACACAAACUAAGAUGUUACAAAGGGGAAACACAUACAGAAACUCAUUUAAACAAUAAAUCCAUUCAAAAUCAAAACAAAUAAUGCACUAAACCUAUUUAAACAACAUUUUAUAGCAUCAAUACAAACUAGAAAGAUUUUGCUCAUGGCAUAACAAUAAAUCCUUCAAAAAAUCAAAAAAAAAAUUGGGAUCUGAAAUAGGAAAAGGAAACGGAGAAGAAAUUACCGCACGAACCUUGUUUUGGAGCAAGGAAACCUCAGAAAUGGCGAGCGAUGCCGCUGCGAUUGGCGGAGGUGAUCAUGGCAUGGAUGCCCUAGGUCGAGAGAAGAGGUCGGGGAGAAUCUCGCAUGGUGAAGGUGAUCAUGGCAUGGAUGCCCUAGGUCGAGAGAAGAGGUCGGGGAGAGUCUCGCAUGGUGGAGGUCAUCAUGGCAUGGAUGCGAGGUCGGGGAGAGUCUCGCUGUGAGAGGGGAUCGCGACGGGGUCGAGGAGAGUCUCGCUGUGAGAGGGGAUCGCGACGGGGUCGGGGAGAGUCUCGCUGUGAGAGAGGAUGUAACAACCCUGAAGAAUAAAUGGUAGAAAUAGUAGUAGUAGUAGUUAGCAUGGUAGAGUAGUAAAAAUGUCAACUUUACAAAGUAGAGCAGAGAAGUGACAGCAGGAGGUUGGUGAGGAGUGAGCUCCGCGGAGCGAUCCGGCGGGAAGGCGCUCGGGCGGAACUCCGGCGGGAAGGAGCCUUCGAAGGGGGCUCAGGCGAGCUCGACGGAGCUAGGGCAUCCUCAAAGCUCGGAGAGAGCGACGGGAGGUCCGACGAAAUCCAUGUAGUUGGGGCGAAGGAGAGAGCCGGCGGAUCGGGCGGUCGGAUUACCGGAUCGGGCGUAAAACGCGGACCCAAGCCCCGCCGGAUUGCGGAUGAUGCGGAGAAGGCAGGAACCGACGCCCACUUACCGCUACGCACGGGUCGGGCGAACCAGGAGCUCGGAUCGGGGCGAAAUGGCGAACCCAAAACCCGCAGGGUUGCGGGUAGUGCAGAGAAGGGCGGACCCGAGUCCGUUUGCCCGCCUCCCAGGCGGUUUGGACCAAACAAGCCCACCCGAGGCCCACAAGGCAACCGGAUUCAACCCAUCAGGCCUCAUUCCCCAUUUUUGACAAAUUGCUGUUAACCCCUAGUAACUUAGUUCGCUUACAUUUCAGUACAAGUUGCAUAUGCUACAUAUAGUUAACAGGAUGUAAUUGCAAGGCAUGAAUG